GGGUUUUUAGUAUAAAUUUAAUACUUUUGAUUGCAGAUCAUUUAAUUUUAAACCUU
Molecule: transfer RNA, 56 nt
Filed under: Onchocerca flexuosa
Lineage: Eukaryota; Metazoa; Nematoda; Chromadorea; Rhabditida; Onchocercidae
Description: tRNA-Cys
Source: RNAcentral